This is a long non-coding RNA of Magallana angulata, 913 nucleotides long. RefSeq lists it as uncharacterized. The transcript is spliced from 3 exons. NCBI's taxonomy places the organism in Eukaryota, Metazoa, Mollusca, Bivalvia, Ostreida, Ostreidae. The record is from RefSeq and is a predicted model, not a curated record.
CAUGUUCGAUGUUUGCCCCUACUUCCUGCAUAAACACUCACAUGGAAACUGUAUAUGAGUGUUAUUAUUUAGUGCAGCUGGUCUUCAAUAUGCCGUGUUGUGUCAGACGGUUGUGAGUUAUUCAAAUCUCAUUUUUUUUUAAAAAGCUAGGGAUUUUGAAAACUUUCAUAAGAAGGACUGGAAAUGUUGUUCAUAUUGUGCAUAUAUUCCAUGCAACAGAGAAAACUGCGACCUGUGUACAGUAAAGGAACAGUCGUUGGAUUUGUUUGUUUGUUUGUUUGUGCUUUACAUUGUUGUGUAGUUACAUGUAAAAUAUUGCAGAUCUGACGAUUUUCUUUCCAUAAAAUGUGAUGUGAGCGAUUAGAGGGUAUGAGCAACCCUGCAAUUGAUACCAUAAAAUGCACCAACAAUUUGAUUUUGUAUUUGUUUUAAGCGCAAUUCUGUGGGUACCAAGCUUGAUGUGGAAAAUCAAAGUUUUGGACAACAAUAAUCAAACCACAACCCCCAACACAACCUUCACUAAGAGUAACGCUUCAAAAAGUAGUUCUGUGGACAGCGAUGACGUCACAGUUGGAGUUGGAGUAACUCUAGCCACAAUCGUUGUCACUGUCCUCAUGAUCAUCGUCAUUAUUGUUAUCAUGAAGCGGAAGAAAGUAAAUUUCCCGGUCAAUUGUCAACGCAGCGGCUCCAACAGCUCGGGAUCUGGGGCCGACGAUGGAGUGCCAAUGACGGGUGGGAACGCGAAACAAGAUUAACAAGGCUUGAAGGUGGUGGACAUUUUUAGGCUAUAUUUACCUCCUUUAGCCAAAGAACUUUGAUUAAAGAUGUAAGAAAGUGUUCCAAUUUUAAAGCUUAACUAUUUUGGAAUUUUUAUAUUUUUUUUAUACAAAAUAAAGGUUUAUGGCCAAAAACA